Molecule: ribosomal RNA, 726 nt
Filed under: uncultured bacterium
Lineage: Bacteria
Description: bacterial SSU rRNA
Rfam family: Bacterial small subunit ribosomal RNA
Source: RNAcentral
GGUAGUCCACGCCGUAAACGAUGUCGACUUGGAGGUUGUGCCCUUGAGGCGUGGCUUCCGGAGCUAACGCGUUAAGUCGACCGCCUGGGGAGUACGGCCGCAAGGUUAAAACUCAAAUGAAUUGACGGGGGCCCGCACAAGCGGUGGAGCAUGUGGUUUAAUUCGAUGCAACGCGAAGAACCUUACCUACUCUUGACAUCCAGAGAACUUAGCAGAGAUGCUUUGGUGCCUUCGGGAACUCUGAGACAGGUGCUGCAUGGCUGUCGUCAGCUCGUGUUGUGAAAUGUUGGGUUAAGUCCCGCAACGAGCGCAACCCUUAUCCUUUGUUGCCAGCGGUUAGGCCGGGAACUCAAAGGAGACUGCCAGUGAUAAACUGGAGGAAGGUGGGGAUGACGUCAAGUCAUCAUGGCCCUUACGAGUAGGGCCACACACGUGCUACAAUGGCGCAUACAAAGAGAAGCGACCUCGCGAGAGCAAGCGGACCUCAUAAAGUGCGUCGUAGUCCGGAUUGGAGUCUGCAACUCGACUCCAUGAAGUCGGAAUCGCUAGUAAUCGUAGAUCAGAAUGCUACGGUGAAUACGUUCCCGGGCCUUGUACACACCGCCCGUCACACCAUGGGAGUGGGUUGCAAAAGAAGUAGGUAGCUUAACCUUCGGGAGGGCGCUUACCACUUUGUGAUUCAUGACUGGGGUGAAGUCGUAACAAGGUAACCGUAGGGGAACCUGC